GAUAAACGCUGGCGGCGCACAUAAGACAUGCAAGUCGAACGAACUUAACCAUUAGUUUACUUUUGGAGCGGUUAGUGGCGGACUGGUGAGUAACACGUAAGCAACCUGCCUAUCAGAGGGGAACAACAGUUAGAAAUGACUGCUAAUACCGCAUAUACCUAAGCAUCGCAUGAUGCAAUAGGGAAAGGAGCAAUCCGCUGAUAGAUGGGCUUGCGUCUGAUUAGCUAGUUGGUGGGGUAAUGGCCUACCAAGGCGACGAUCAGUAGCCGGACUGAGAGGUUGAACGGCCACAUUGGGACUGAGAUACGGCCCAG
RNAcentral lists this ribosomal RNA (314 nucleotides) under uncultured bacterium. RNAcentral's name for it is "bacterial SSU rRNA". It matches the Rfam family "Bacterial small subunit ribosomal RNA", at positions 28 to 334 of the family's 1533-position model. The record is from RNAcentral.